Molecule: ribosomal RNA, 433 nt
Filed under: uncultured bacterium
Lineage: Bacteria
Description: partial 16S ribosomal RNA
Rfam family: Bacterial small subunit ribosomal RNA
Source: RNAcentral
AGCGAACGCUGGCGGCAUGCUUAACACAUGCAAGUCGCACGGGCAGCACUUUCUUUGGCGGACGGCUGAGUUACGCGUAGGAACGUUUCCUGAGGUGUGGGACAACCUCGGCUAACUGGGGCUAUUACCGCAUAUGGGCUAAUGCCCAAAGCCGAGGGCCGCCUUUGGAGCGGCCUGCGUCCGAUUCGGUGGUUGGUGGGGUAAAGGCCUCCCAAGCCUGGGAUCGGUGGCUGGUCUGAGAGGACGACCAGCCACACUGGGACUGAGACACGGACCAGACUCCUACGGGAGGGAGCAGUGGGGAAUAUUGGACAAGGGGCGAAAGUGUGACAAAGCAAUGCCGCGUGGGUGAAGAAGGUGUUCGGAUAGUAAAGCCCUUUCGAAGGGGACGAGGAUGACGGUACCCGUAGAAGAAGCACCGGCUAACUUCGUG